Molecule: ribosomal RNA, 400 nt
Filed under: uncultured bacterium
Lineage: Bacteria
Description: bacterial SSU rRNA
Rfam family: Bacterial small subunit ribosomal RNA
Source: RNAcentral
UGGGGAAUCUUGCACAAUGGAGGAAACUCUGAUGCAGCGACGCCGCGUGAGCGAUGAAGCCCUUCGGGGUGUAAACCUCUAAAAGAGGGACGAUAAUGACGGUACCUCUUGAAUAGCACCGGCUAACUCCGUGCCAGCAGCCGCGGUAAUACGGAGGGUGCAAGCGUUAUCCGGAAUCACUGGGCGUAAGGGGCGCGUAGGCGGUCUGUUAAGUCCGAUGUUAAAUCCCGGGGCUCAACCCCGGAUAAGCGUUGGAUACUGGCAGGCUAGACGGUUGGAGAGGCGAGUGGAAUUACCAGUGCAGCGGUGGAAUGCGUAGAUACUGGUAGGAACACCCGUUGCGAAGGCAGCUCGCUGGACAACACGUGACGCUGAGGCGCGAAAGUGUGGGGAGCAAACC